Molecule: ribosomal RNA, 492 nt
Filed under: uncultured bacterium
Lineage: Bacteria
Description: partial 16S ribosomal RNA
Rfam family: Bacterial small subunit ribosomal RNA
Source: RNAcentral
AGUGAACGUUGGCGGUAGGCCUAACACAUGCAAGUCGAACGGCCGCACAGUAAGAGCUUGCUCUUACGGUUGGCGAGUGGCGGACGGGUGAGGCAUACAUCGGAAUCUACUUUUUCGUGGGGGAUAACGUAGGGAAACUUACGCUAAUACCGCAUACGACCUACGGGUGAAAGCAGGGGAUCUUCGGACCUUGCGCGAUUGAAUGAGCCGAUGUCGGAUUAGCUAGUUGGCGGGGUAAAGGCCCACCAAGGCGACGAUCCGUAGCUGGUCUGAGAGGAUGAUCAGCCACACUGGAACUGAGACACGGUCCAGACUCCUACGGGAGGCAGCAGUGGGGAAUAUUGGACAAUGGGCGCAAGCCUGAUCCAGCCAUACCGCGUGGGUGAAGAAGGCCUUCGGGUUGUAAAGCCCUUUUGUUGGGAAAGAAAAGCAGCAGGUUAAUACCCCGAUGUUCUGACGGUACCCAAAGAAUAAGCACCGGCUAACUUCGUG